RNAcentral lists this ribosomal RNA (500 nucleotides) under uncultured Glomeromycotina. Its description in RNAcentral is "partial small subunit ribosomal RNA". It matches the Rfam family "Eukaryotic small subunit ribosomal RNA", at positions 591 to 1092 of the family's 1831-position model. Lineage: Eukaryota; Fungi; Glomeromycota. The record is from RNAcentral.
CCAAUAGCGUAUAUUAAAGUUGUUGCAGUUAAAAAGCUCGUAGUUGAACUUCGGGGUCUACCCAUUGGUCAGGCUUAAUUGUCUGUACUGGUGAGAUGGAUCUCUACCUUCUGAGGAACUUUCAUGCCAUUUAUUUGGUGUGGUUGGAAAUCAGGACUGUUACUUUGAAAAAAUUAGAGUGUUUAAAGCAGACUAUCGUCUGAAUACAUUAGCAUGGAAUAAUGAAAUAGGACGGACUGAUUCUAUUUCGUUGGUUUCUAGGAUCACCGUAAUGAUUAAUAGGGAUAGUUGGGGGCAUUAGUAUUCAAUUGUCAGAGGUGAAAUUCUUGGAUUUAUUGAAGACUAACUACUGCGAAAGCAUUUGCCAAGGAUGUUUCCAUUAAUCAAGAACGAAAGUUAGGGGAUCGAAGACAAUCAGAUACUGUCGUAGUCUUAACCAUAAACUAUGCCGACUAGAGAUCAGACAGGCUUAUUUUUUAUGACCUGUUUGGCAUCUUAUG